RNAcentral lists this non-coding RNA (134 nucleotides) under uncultured Phaeocystis. Lineage: Eukaryota; Haptophyta; Phaeocystales; Phaeocystaceae. The record is from RNAcentral.
AAAAAAAAAAAAAAAAAAAAACUUCUAAAUACAAUAAUGAAGGACUAUUCUUAUUCCAAUUUUUUUCUCGUUGUUCUAUUAUCCAUGCUUGUGGCAAGUUGUCAGACGCAGAAAGAGGUGGUGGAUCUGAAAUU